GAGGAAUAUUGGUCAAUGGACGAGAGUCUGAACCAGCCAAGUAGCGUGAAGGAUGACUGCCCUAUGGGUUGUAAACUUCUUUUAUACGGGAAUAAAGUUAGCCACGUGUGGCUUUUUGUAUGUACCGUAUGAAUAAGGAUCGGCUAACUCCGUGCCAGCAGCCGCGGUAAUACGGAGGAUCCGAGCGUUAUCCGGAUUUAUUGGGUUUAAAGGGAGCGUAGGCGGGUUGUUAAGUCAGUUGUGAAAGUUUGCGGCUCAACCGUAAAAUUGCAGUUGAUACUGGCGACCUUGAGUGCAACAGAGGUAGGCGGAAUUCGUGGUGUAGCGGUGAAAUGCUUAGAUAUCACGAAGAACUCCGAUUGCGAAGGCAGCUUACUGGAUUGUAACUGACGCUGAUGCUCGAAAGUGUGGAUAUCAAACAGGAUUAGAUACCCUGGUAGUCCACACAGUAAACGAUGAAUACUCGCUGUUGGCGAUAUACGGUCAGCGGCCAAGCGAAAGCAUUAAGUAUUCCACCUGGGGAGUACGCCGGCAACGGUGAAACUCAAAGGAAUUGACGGGGGCCCGCACAAGCGGAGGAACAUGUGGUUUAAUUCGAUGAUACGCGAGGAACCUUACCCGGGCUUAAAUUGCAACUGACUGAACCGGAAACGGUUCUUUCUUCGGACAGUUGUGAAGGUGCUGCAUGGUUGUCGUCAGCUCGUGCCGUGAGGUGUCGGCUUAAGUGCCAUAACGAGCGCAACCCUUAUCGAUAGUUACUAGCAGGUCAUGCUGAGGACUCUAUUGAGACUGCCGUCGUAAGAUGUGAGGAAGGUGGGGAUGACGUCAAAUCAGCACGGCCCUUACGUCCGGGGCUACACACGUGUUACAAUGGGGGGUACAGAAGGCAGCUACACGGCGACGUGGUGCUAAUCCCGAAAGCCUCUCUCAGUUCGGAUUGGAGUCUGCAACCCGACUCCAUGAAGCUGGAUUCGCUAGUAAUCGCGCAUCAGCCACGGCGCGGUGAAUACGUUCCCG
RNAcentral lists this ribosomal RNA (1017 nucleotides) under uncultured organism. RNAcentral describes it as "bacterial SSU rRNA". It matches the Rfam family "Bacterial small subunit ribosomal RNA", at positions 356 to 1376 of the family's 1533-position model. The record is from RNAcentral.